This 159-nucleotide unclassified non-coding RNA is filed under the name uncultured Jattaea. RNAcentral's name for it is "sequence contains ITS2". The record is from RNAcentral. Lineage: Eukaryota; Fungi; Ascomycota; Sordariomycetes; Calosphaeriales; Calosphaeriaceae.
CACCCCUCAGGCCCAGCCUGGCGUUGGGGCGCUGCGCGAGAGCGCAGGCCCUCAAGUACAGUGGCGAGCCGGCCGGGAACCCGAGCGUAGUAACACUCUUCGCCCUGGGACCCCGGGCGACCUCCGCCGUUAAACGAGACGCGAGAGCGCCUUCCACAA